AGACAGCAGUCGCCACGGUAAUACAGAGGGUGCAAGCGUUAAUCGGAAUUACUGGGCGUAAAGGGCGCGUAGGUGGUUGCGUAAGUGAGAUGUGAAAUCCCCGGGCUUAACCUGGGACGUGCAUCUUAUACUGGGUAACUGGAGUGCAGUAGAGGGUAGUGGAAUUUCCGGUGUAGCGGUGAAAUGCGUAGAUAUCGGAAGGAACACCAGUGGCGAAGGCGGCUACCUGGACUGAGACUGACACUGAGGCGCGAGAGCGUGGGGAGCAAACAGGAUUAGAUACCCCAGUAGUCCCUGUCUCUUAUAC
This 307-nucleotide ribosomal RNA is filed under the name uncultured bacterium. Its description in RNAcentral is "partial 16S ribosomal RNA". It matches the Rfam family "Bacterial small subunit ribosomal RNA", at positions 506 to 807 of the family's 1533-position model. The record is from RNAcentral.